UUGUCUCAAAGAUUAAGCCAUGCAUGUCUCAGUACAAGCCGAAUUAAGGUGAAACCGCGAAAGGCUCAUUAAAUCAGUUAUGGUUCCUUAGAUCGUACCCACAUUUACUUGGAUAACUGUGGUAAUUCUAGAGCUAAUACAUGCAAACAGAGCUCCAACCGGAAACGGAAGGAGCGCUUUUAUUAGAUCAAAACCAAUCGGUGGCGAAUCCGUCAUCGUACAACUUGGUGACUCUGAAUAACUUUACGCUGAUCGCACGGUCUCGCACCGGCGACGCAUCUUUCAAAUGUCUGCCUUAUCAACUGUCGAUGGUAGGUUCUGCGCCUACCAUGGUUGUAACGGGUAACGGGGAAUCAGGGUUCGAUUCCGGAGAGGGAGCCUGAGAAACGGCUACCACAUCCAAGGAAGGCAGCAGGCGCGCAAAUUACCCACUCCCGGCACGGGGAGGUAGUGACGAAAAAUAACGAUACGGGACUCAUCCGAGGCCCCGUAAUCGGAAUGAGUACACUCUAAACCCUUUAACGAGGAUCAAUUGGAGGGCAAGUCUGGUGCCAGCAGCCGCGGUAAUUCCAGCUCCAAUAGCGUAUAUUAAAGUUGUUGCGGUUAAAAAGCUCGUAGUCGAAUCUGUGUCCCGCGCCGCCGGUUCAUCGUUCGCGGUGUUAACUGGCGUGCCGCGGGACGUCCUGCCGGUGGGCUUAGCUCGAGAGGGCGGCCCAACUCAAUCCCGCCGCGGUGCUCUUCAUUGAGUGUCGAGGUGGGCCGGCACGUUUACUUUGAACAAAUUAGAGUGCUUAAAGCAGGCUAAAACUUCGCCUGAAUACUGUGUGCAUGGAAUAAUGGAAUAGGACCUCGGUUCUAUUUUGUUGGUUUUCGGAACCCCGAGGUAAUGAUUAAUAGGAACGGAUGGGGGCAUUCGUAUUGCGACGUUAGAGGUGAAAUUCUUGGAUCGUCGCAAGACGGACAGAAGCGAAAGCAUUUGCCAAAAACGCUUUCAUUGAUCAAGAACGAAAGUUAGAGGUUCGAAGGCGAUCAGAUACCGCCCUAGUUCUAACCAUAAACGAUGCCAGCUAGCGAUCCGCCGACGUUCCUCCGAUGACUCGGCGGGCAGCUUCCGGGAAACCAAAGCUUUUGGGUUCCGGGGGAAGUAUGGUUGCAAAGCUGAAACUUAAAGGAAUUGACGGAAGGGCACCACCAGGAGUGGAGCCUGCGGCUUAAUU
This 1217-nucleotide ribosomal RNA is filed under the name Chariotheca sp. 2 GJK-2014. Its description in RNAcentral is "SSU rRNA". It matches the Rfam family "Eukaryotic small subunit ribosomal RNA", at positions 32 to 1195 of the family's 1831-position model. The record is from RNAcentral. Lineage: Eukaryota; Metazoa; Arthropoda; Insecta; Coleoptera; Tenebrionidae.